ACGGGAGACACCUGCAAAUGGCAAAGGAGCCAGAGGAAUGGGAAAGACGAUGGAGAGGUGGCGGGUGGGGAGAAAGCAGAGAAACAGGCCUUCCUGAGAAAGAGGGGCUUCUUGCUGGGCCGUCUUUGGGGGAUCUUUUCAGAAAAGAGGCAGCAAGUGGAGCCAAAGAGAAACCCCCCCGGAACAUGGAUAUCUUCAACUUCCUGCCUUGCCCAAGGACUUGUUGGAGAAUGAAUGGAAAGCUACACCUCCCUUGAAGCCACAGAGGAUCCCACUCUGAAGUCUAGAUGUUGGAGCUGGAAGAGGACUUCAAAGUUGCAAUGCAGCUCUUCAUCCUACUGACACAAGAGGGGAAAUCAUGUGCCUGGAGUUACUUGGGGUGAUGUGGGUGGCCCAGGGGAGUGGCAGGAGGAGGUGAUGAGUGAACAGUUGAACUGCUUCAGUCUUGUGACAUUAAACAUCAAUUAUUUAUCUAGCCCUGUUGCCCACUCUCAGGAAGCUGUAACUUUUCCUACUGUGUUGGGGUCUCCAUGUCUUCUAUUAAAGUAUUCAGCCGGGAGUGGUGGUGCAUGCCUGUAAUCCCAGCACUCUGGAGACUGAGGCAGGAGGAUCACUGGGAGUUCGAGACCAGCCUGGGCUACAAAGUGAGCUCAAGGCCAGCCUGAACUGCACAGUGAGGCCCUGUCUCAAAAAGACAAAAGAAGUGUACCCAGAUAUGCUUUACCAUCCAAUAGUUGAUAUCC
RNAcentral lists this long non-coding RNA (743 nucleotides) under Chinchilla lanigera (long-tailed chinchilla). Its description in RNAcentral is "lncRNA (ENSCLAG00000028468.1)". The record is from RNAcentral. Lineage: Eukaryota; Metazoa; Chordata; Mammalia; Rodentia; Chinchillidae.